Molecule: long non-coding RNA, 484 nt
Organism: Oncorhynchus keta (chum salmon)
Lineage: Eukaryota; Metazoa; Chordata; Actinopteri; Salmoniformes; Salmonidae
Exons: 4
Source: RefSeq, a predicted model, not a curated record
GACACAUUUUUCUAUGUAGGCCCCACUGUGUUAGACACAUUUUUCUAUGUAGGCCCCACUGUGUUAGACACAUUUUUCUAUGUAGGCCCCACUGUGUUAGACACAUUUUUCUAUGUAGGCCCACUGUGUUAGACACAUUUUUCUAUUUAGGCCCCACUGUGUUAGACACAUUUUUCUAUGUAGGUCCCACUGUGUUAGACACAUUUUUCUAUGUAGGCCCCACUGUGUUAGACACAUUUUUCUAUGUAGGUCCCACUGUGUUAGACACAUUUUUCUAUGUAGGUCCCACUGUGUUAGACACAUCUUUCUAUGUAGGCCCCACUGUGUUAGACACAUCUUUCUAUGUAGGUCCCACUGUGUUAGACACAUCUUUCUAUGUAGGUCCCACUGUUUUAGACACAUUUUUCUAUGUAGGCCCCACUGUGUUAGACACAUUUUUCUAUGUAGGCCCCACUGUGUUAGACACAUUUUUCUAUGUAGGUCC